GCCGGCUUAGCUCAGCGGUAGAGCAGCGGUUUUGUAAACCGUUGGUCGGGGGUUCAAGUCCCUCAGCCGGCACCA
This 75-nucleotide transfer RNA is filed under the name Alphaproteobacteria bacterium. Its description in RNAcentral is "tRNA-Thr". It matches the Rfam family "tRNA". Rfam says of the family: Transfer RNA (tRNA) molecules are approximately 80 nucleotides in length. Their secondary structure includes four short double-helical elements and three loops (D, anti-codon, and T loops). The record is from RNAcentral. Lineage: Bacteria; Pseudomonadati; Pseudomonadota; Alphaproteobacteria. RNAcentral also lists the same sequence under 3 other names.